GGCCUAUUAGCUCAGUUGGUUAGAGCGUCGUGCUAAUAACGCGAAGGUCACAGGUAGGUCACAGGUUCGAUCCCUGUAUAAGCCA
This is a non-coding RNA of Camelina sativa (false flax), 85 nucleotides long. Lineage: Eukaryota; Viridiplantae; Streptophyta; Magnoliopsida; Brassicales; Brassicaceae. The record is from the annotation of a RefSeq genome assembly.